CCUACGGGAGGCUGCAGUAGGGAAUCUUUCACAAUGGGCGAAAGCCUGAUGGAGCAACGCCGCGUGCAGGAUGAAGGCCUUCGGGUUGUAAACUGCUUUUAUAAGCGAGAAAUAUGAUGGUAACUUAUGAAUAAGGAUCGGCUAACUACGUGCCAGCAGCCGCGGUCAUACGUAGGAUCCGAGCAUUAUCCGGAGUGACUGGGUGUAAAGAGUUGCGUGGGGGGCAUAAUAAGUAGCUAGUGGAAUCUGGUGGCUCAACCAUUCAGACUAUUAGCUAAACUGUUAAGCUCGAGACCGUGAGGGGUAACUGGAAUUGCGAGUGUAGGAGUGAAAUCCGUAGAUAUUAGGAGGAACACCAAUAGCGUAGGCAGGUUGCUGGGACGGUUCUGACACUGAGGCACGAAAGCGUAGGGAGCAAACGGGAUUAGAUACCCUGGUAGUC
RNAcentral lists this ribosomal RNA (442 nucleotides) under uncultured bacterium. RNAcentral's name for it is "partial 16S ribosomal RNA". It matches the Rfam family "Bacterial small subunit ribosomal RNA", at positions 338 to 795 of the family's 1533-position model. The record is from RNAcentral.